RNAcentral lists this ribosomal RNA (253 nucleotides) under uncultured bacterium. RNAcentral's name for it is "partial 16S ribosomal RNA". It matches the Rfam family "Bacterial small subunit ribosomal RNA", at positions 524 to 776 of the family's 1533-position model. The record is from RNAcentral.
UACGUAGGUGGCAAGCGUUGUCCGGAAUUACUGGGCGUAAAGGGCGCGUAGGCGGUCCUGAUCGUCGGAUGUGAAAGGCCUGGGCUCAACCUGGGAAUGGCAUCCGAUACGGCGGGACUGGAGUGUGGGAGAGGUUGGUGGAAUUCCCAGUGUAGAGGUGAAAUUCGUAGAUAUUGGGAAGAACACCGGUGGCGAAGGCGGCCAACUGGACCACAACUGACGCUGAGGCGCGAAAGCGUGGGGAGCAAACAGG